UCCUACACAUACAUAUUACUCCUACUUCAAAUAAUCUCCAUGACAUACAAUUGGGUCAAAUGCCAAUACCAGAAAAACCGGUGACUGUUAUUUUGUCUGACAUUUCCACUUUCUCUAAACAAUAACCCCUUUAGUACGAACCAUCUUUGCCACUGUAGGUCUUAGCUAAGUAUGGAAUAAAUCAGGAUUCCAAGCCCUUCUCGUGUGACUAAUACUUUAUUAAAGACUGACAGCAAUAGUUCUGGCAGUGUGGCUGGGCACUUGAAUUUUGGCUCCAGCAGUUACUGUUAUCUAACCCUUUGCUACUGUACAUGUGGUCACAUCAGACCAACAGCAUCAUUUGGGAGGUUAUUAAAAAACGUAUCUAGGGGCCAGGUGUAGUGGCUCACUCCUGUAAUCCCAGCACUUUGGGAGGCUGAGGCAGGAUUGCCUGAGCCCAGGAGUUCAAGGCCAGCCUAAGCAACAUGGCAAAACCCCAUCUCUACCAAAAAAAAAAAAAAAAAAAAAAAAAAAAAUUACAAGAAUCAGCCAGGCAUGGUGGAACACACCUGUAGUCCUGGCUACUUGGGAGGCUGAGGUGGGAGGAUGGCUUAGCCCAGGUCAAGGUGGGGGUGAGCUAUGAUGGUGCCAUUGCACUGCAGCCUGGGAAAGAGACCAUCUCAAAGAAAAAAAAUUUAAGACGUGUCUGAAGCCUCACCUCAAGCCUAUAGAAUUAGAACCUGCAUUUUGUUUUUAAAUUUGAGAGUCAGGGGUCUCCGUCACCCAGGCUGGAAUGCAGUGGUGCAAUCAUGGCUCACUACCUCAACCUCCUUGGGCUCAGGUGGUCCUCCCACCUAUAGGCAGGUGCCAUCACAGCAUGCAAAUUUUUGUUUUGGUAGAGAUGGGUUUUCACCAUGUUGCCCAGGCUGGUCUCGAAUUCCUGGGCUCGUGAUCCACCCAACUUGGCCUCCCGAAGUGCAUGAGCCACCAGGUUGACCCCAAACCUGCAUUUUAAUAUCUACAGGUGAUUCACAUCCAUUUUAGUUAGAGAAGCACUGGCUCAAUCUGAACCCGUUUCCUCACUUACAAAAUGAUUCUAUAACCACUUAAUUCAGGCCCAAAUUAAACAGAUAAACCAAGAAGCUGGGCAGUGGCUCAUGCCUAUAAUCAAAACUUUGAGAGGUUGAGGCAGGAGGAUCACUUGAAGCCAGUUGAAGACCACCCUGGGCAGCAUAGCAAGGCCCCAUCUCUACAAGAAAUAAAAAUAGCUGGGCAUGGUGGUGUGCACCUGCAGUCCCCAGCUACUUAGGAGGCUGAAGCAGGAGAAUCACAUGAGUCCAGGAGCUCGAGGCUGCAAUGAGCUAUGUAUUAUCAUGCCACUGCACUCCAGCCUGGGUGACAGAGCAAGACCCUCGACUCAGGUGGUUUCAUCUACCAGCCUCAUACAUCCAACUUUAACUGGAUCAAGUAUUUAAGUCAGCUCGACAUUUAAAAUGGAAACUUCAAUUUUAUUAACAAUUUACGGCAAUAGACAUUUACAGAACAAAAAUAAGACAGUUCCAAGACAAAGGAGUGUAAAAGUACAGCACACAGGUUAAUACUCUUCACCCUCAUCCUCUCCGUCAGCACUAUCUGCUCCAACCUCCUCAUAAUCCUUCUCAAGGGCAGCCAUGUCCUCACGGGCCUCUGAAAACUCGCCUUCCUCCAUCCCCUCACCCACGUACCAGUGAACAAAGGCAGCAAGCCAUGUAUUUACCAUGGCGAGGGUCAC
Molecule: long non-coding RNA, 1750 nt
Filed under: Homo sapiens (human)
Lineage: Eukaryota; Metazoa; Chordata; Mammalia; Primates; Hominidae
Description: HSALNT0188705
Source: RNAcentral